This 225-nucleotide microRNA precursor is filed under the name Glycine max (soybean). Its description in RNAcentral is "miR4367 stem-loop (gma-MIR4367)". Lineage: Eukaryota; Viridiplantae; Streptophyta; Magnoliopsida; Fabales; Fabaceae. The record is from miRBase by way of RNAcentral.
CAAUUUCCAUCAAAACAAUACUCCCCUAAAACCUAGAACAAAAUAUGAUAUAAUUGAUUUACUUCACUAGGGUUCAGGACAAUAUUCAAUCAUGCUUGGCUCACUGCAGGACAAUGCUAGUCAUUCUCUCACAUGAUUGAAUAUUAUCCUGAACCCUAGCGAAGUAAAUCAAUUGUAUCAUAUCUUGUUCUAGGUUUUAGGAAAGCAUUGUCUUGAUGGAAAUUG